This 847-nucleotide ribosomal RNA is filed under the name uncultured archaeon. Its description in RNAcentral is "bacterial SSU rRNA". It matches the Rfam family "Archaeal small subunit ribosomal RNA", at positions 29 to 882 of the family's 1478-position model. The record is from RNAcentral.
GCUAUCGGAUUGAUACUAAGCCAUGCGAGUCAUUGUAGCAAUACAAGGCAUACGGCUCAGUAACGCGUAGUCAACCUAACCUAUGGACGGGAAUAACCUCGGGAAACUGAGAAUAAUGCCCGAUAGAACAUUAUGCCUGGAAUGGUUUAUGUUCCAAAUGAUUUAUCGCCGUAGGAUGGGACUGCGGCCUAUCAGUUUGUUGGUGAGGUAAUGGCCCACCAAGACUAUUACAGGUACGGGCUCUGAGAGGAGUAGCCCGGAGAUGGGUACUGAGACACGGACCCAGGCCCUAUGGGGCGCAGCAGGCGAGAAAACUUUGCAAUGUGCGAAAGCACGACAAGGUUAAUCCGAGUGGUUUCUGCUAAAGGAACCUUUUGUCAGUCCUAGAAACACUGAUGAAUAAGGGGUGGGCAAGUUCUGGUGUCAGCCGCCGCGGUAAAACCAGCACCUCAAGUGGUCAGGAUGAUUAUUGGGCCUAAAGCAUCCGUAGCCGGCUCUGUAAGUUUUCGGUUAAAUCUGUACGCUCAACGUACAGGCUGCCGGGAAUACUGCAAAGCUAGGGAGUGGGAGAGGUAGACGGUACUCGGUAGGAAGGGGUAAAAUCCUUUGAUCUAUUGAUGACCACCUGUGGCGAAGGCGGUCUACCAGAACACGUCCGACGGUGAGGGAUGAAAGCUGGGGGAGCAAACCGGAUUAGAUACCCGGGUAGUCCCAGCUGUAAACCAUGCAAACUCAGUGAUGCAUUGGCUUGUGGCCAAUGCAGUGCUGCAGGGAAGCCGUUAAGUUUGCCGCCUGGGAAGUACGUACGCAAGUAUGAAACUUAAAGGAAUUGGCGGGGGAGCACCAC